Molecule: transfer RNA, 73 nt
Filed under: Ignavibacteria bacterium
Lineage: Bacteria; Pseudomonadati; Ignavibacteriota; Ignavibacteria
Also listed under: 1 other name
Description: tRNA-Arg
Rfam family: tRNA
About the family: Transfer RNA (tRNA) molecules are approximately 80 nucleotides in length.
Source: RNAcentral
ACUCUCUUAGCAUAACGGAUAAUGCAACUGUCUUCUAAGCAGUUUGAUGUGGGUUCGAUUCCUGCAGAGAGUU